RNAcentral lists this ribosomal RNA (253 nucleotides) under uncultured bacterium. Its description in RNAcentral is "partial 16S ribosomal RNA". It matches the Rfam family "Bacterial small subunit ribosomal RNA", at positions 524 to 776 of the family's 1533-position model. The record is from RNAcentral.
UACGAAGGGGGCUAGCGUUGUUCGGAUUUACUGGGCGUAAAGCGCACGUAGGCGGCCUAUUAAGUCAGGGGUGAAAUCCCGGGGCUCAACCCCGGAACUGCCUUUGAUACUGGUAGUCUUGAGUUCGAGAGAGGUGAGUGGAAUUCCGAGUGUAGAGGUGAAAUUCGUAGAUAUUCGGAGGAACACCAGUGGCGAAGGCGGCUCACUGGCUCGAUACUGACGCUGAGGUGCGAAAGCGUGGGGAGCAAACAGG